This is a long non-coding RNA of Onychostoma macrolepis, 381 nucleotides long. RefSeq lists it as uncharacterized. Lineage: Eukaryota; Metazoa; Chordata; Actinopteri; Cypriniformes; Cyprinidae. The transcript has 3 exons. The record is from RefSeq and is a predicted model, not a curated record.
UCCCGUCCACAGAACAGCUGUGAGAGUUCAAUGGUCUGUGAGAUGAAGUCCAUCAUCGUGUUGACUCGCACCUUCGCGUUGAGGAACAGAAGCUCACAUAAUGCAAAAACAUGAUGAGAUGAUGGAAAAGGUGCUGGAGUCUUAACGUGCAGGAAUACAAGACGUGGGUUAUUGUAGCCUGAAGACUGUUGGCCUACGCUUCCACUUUUCCAGAAUUAUUAUUAUGAAGUUUGCGUUGCCAUGGCAGCAGAACUACUGCAGCUGUGAUGGUCAGCACAGACUUCUUCCACCUCUUCAAUCAAAACCCCGCCCUCCAGUGAGUUCCCAGUGUUCUGAUUGGCUAACACGCGCGAGCCGUUGUUUCAGUGCUUUCUGUCAGGU